Molecule: ribosomal RNA, 163 nt
Filed under: uncultured eukaryote
Lineage: Eukaryota
Description: partial 18S rRNA
Rfam family: Eukaryotic small subunit ribosomal RNA
Source: RNAcentral
CCGCACGCGCGCUACACUGGUUGAAGCAGCAGGCAUUUUUCUGGGUCGAAAGGCCCGGAUAAUCCUCUGAAAUUCAACCGGGAUUGGGAUUGAGCUUUGUAACUAUCGCUCAUGAACGAGGAAUUCCCAGUAAGCGCGAGUCAUAAGCUCGCGUUGAUUACGU